AAAGCAACACUACCUGCACCCCAGCAGAGAUGGAGUGGAACUCCUGUCGGACAACGUAUGACUAAGAAAGAAUAUGUUCCUGAAAGGCAGAGAAAGCUGCAAGUAAGUGGGACACAAUGUUGCUGUGUAAAGAAGUGGCUGUAGGCUUUCUGGGGUCCCACCUUAUUUUGGACACCAGCGCUGAUGAUGGUGAUCCAUCAGCACAUGGUGAAACUACAGGUCUUUCAUCUUGAGUCAUGUUUUUCACGGUAUGUGUACCCAAGGAUUCGGCAUACUAAGUCCAAUUCCGUGCCGGCUGAGCUACCGAGCAAGCCUGUUACAUCCAGAAAGUGAAACAUAUGGAGCUGG
Long non-coding RNA from Cyprinus carpio carpio, 348 nucleotides. The record is from Ensembl. NCBI's taxonomy places the organism in Eukaryota, Metazoa, Chordata, Actinopteri, Cypriniformes, Cyprinidae.